Molecule: long non-coding RNA, 370 nt
Organism: Cydia fagiglandana
Lineage: Eukaryota; Metazoa; Arthropoda; Insecta; Lepidoptera; Tortricidae
Exons: 4
Source: RefSeq, a predicted model, not a curated record
UAUAUUUAAUUUUCCAGAUUACAAUGACUAGUACGCUGAUUGUAGUCGUCGCUACGGUUAUGGCUGCUGUGGCGACAGUACAAUUCUGUUGACAGACCAGAUGUCCACCAUCGCCGCACACCCGACCAUCUACUGCGAUUAACUGACGAUUACCGGCGUGGGUCCGACCCUCUGCCAGAACGACCUUAUCAUGCCCGGCAGGGUCACUGGGGCGGCGGCACAUUGCGUAUCAUAUUUAGACGUGUCGGCGACGAGUACUCAGCCGAUCCCAACUCCGACUCUACGAAUAGCUAUCAAGCCCGCAUUGGCGCUCACAAAAGGAAAAGGGAAGCAACUUUCGACUCGUUAUAUCCUCCAGGAGACAUUUAAA